GGCGGCAUGCCUAACACAUGCAAGUCGAACGAACUCUUCGGAGUUAGUGGCGCACGGGUGCGUAACGCGUGGGAAUCUGCCCCUUGGUUCGGAAUAACAGUUAGAAAUGACUGCUAAUACCGGAUGAUGUCUUCGGACCAAAGAUUUAUCGCCAAGGGAUGAGCCCGCGUAGGAUUAGGUAGUUGGUGGGGUAAAGGCCUACCAAGCCGACGAUCCUUAGCUGGUCUGAGAGGAUGAUCAGCCACACUGGGACUGAGACACGGCCCAGACUCCUACGGGAGGCAGCAGUGGGGAAUAUUGGACAAUGGGCGAAAGCCUGAUCCAGCAAUGCCGCGUGAGUGAUGAAGGCCUUAGGGUCGUAAAGCUCUUUUACCAGGGAUGAUAAUGACAGUACCUGGAGAAUAAGCUCCGGCUAACUCCGUGCCAGCAGCCGCGGUAAUACGGAGGGAGCUAGCGUUGUUCGGAAUUACUGGGCGUAAAGCGCACGUAGGCGGUUAUUCAAGUCAGAGGUGAAAGCCCGGGGCUCAACCCCGGAACUGCCUUUGAAACUAGAU
RNAcentral lists this ribosomal RNA (554 nucleotides) under alpha proteobacterium TH-G57. RNAcentral's name for it is "bacterial SSU rRNA". It matches the Rfam family "Bacterial small subunit ribosomal RNA", at positions 38 to 638 of the family's 1533-position model. The record is from RNAcentral. Lineage: Bacteria; Pseudomonadati; Pseudomonadota; Alphaproteobacteria.